GAUGAACGCUAGCUACAGGCUUAACACAUGCAAGUCGAGGGGCAGCAUGGUCUUAGCUUGCUAAGGCCGAUGGCGACCGGCGCACGGGUGAGUAACACGUAUCCAACCUGCCGUCUACUCUUGGACAGCCUUCUGAAAGGAAGAUUAAUACAAGAUGGCAUCAUGAGUCCGCAUGUUCACAUGAUUAAAGGUAUUCCGGUAGACGAUGGGGAUGCGUUCCAUUAGAUAGUAGGCGGGGUAACGGCCCACCUAGUCUUCGAUGGAUAGGGGUUCUGAGAGGAAGGUCCCCCACAUUGGAACUGAGACACGGUCCAAACUCCUACGGGAGGCAGCAGUGAGGAAUAUUGGUCAAUGGGCGCAGGCCUGAACCAGCCAAGUAGCGUGAAGGAUGACUGCCCUAUGGGUUGUAAACUUCUUUUAUAAAGGAAUAAAGUCGGGUAUGUAUACCCGUUUGCAUGUACUUGAUGAAUAAGGAUCGGCUAACUCCGU
This 489-nucleotide ribosomal RNA is filed under the name uncultured bacterium. Its description in RNAcentral is "partial 16S ribosomal RNA". It matches the Rfam family "Bacterial small subunit ribosomal RNA", at positions 28 to 506 of the family's 1533-position model. The record is from RNAcentral.